RNAcentral lists this ribosomal RNA (691 nucleotides) under Flavobacterium sp. T141.10.B.RBT.MI.LM.W.Kidney.D. RNAcentral describes it as "bacterial SSU rRNA". It matches the Rfam family "Bacterial small subunit ribosomal RNA", at positions 60 to 752 of the family's 1533-position model. The record is from RNAcentral. Lineage: Bacteria; Pseudomonadati; Bacteroidota; Flavobacteriia; Flavobacteriales; Flavobacteriaceae.
AGUCGAGGGGUAUAGUUCUUAGGAAUUAGAGACCGGCGCACGGGUGCGUAACGCGUAUGCAAUCUACCUUUCACAGAGGGAUAGCCCAGAGAAAUUUGGAUUAAUACCUCAUAGUAUAGUACAACCGCAUGGUUGAACUAUUAAAGUUACAACGGUGAAAGAUGAGCAUGCGUCCCAUUAGCUAGUUGGUAAGGUAACGGCUUACCAAGGCUACGAUGGGUAGGGGUCCUGAGAGGGAGAUCCCCCACACUGGUACUGAGACACGGACCAGACUCCUACGGGAGGCAGCAGUGAGGAAUAUUGGACAAUGGGCGCAAGCCUGAUCCAGCCAUGCCGCGUGCAGGAUGACGGUCCUAUGGAUUGUAAACUGCUUUUGCACAGGAAGAAACAACAUUACGUGUAAUGUCUUGACGGUACUGUGAGAAUAAGGAUCGGCUAACUCCGUGCCAGCAGCCGCGGUAAUACGGAGGAUCCAAGCGUUAUCCGGAAUCAUUGGGUUUAAAGGGUCCGUAGGCGGUUUAGUAAGUCAGUGGUGAAAGCCCAUCGCUCAACGGUGGAACGGCCAUUGAUACUGCUAGACUUGAAUUAUUAGGAAGUAACUAGAAUAUGUAGUGUAGCGGUGAAAUGCUUAGAGAUUACAUGGAAUACCAAUUGCGAAGGCAGGUUACUACUAAUGGAUUGACGCUGAUGG